GGCACUUGGGAGACAUCCACAGAAGCUCUGAAGAGGUACACAACUGAGGUACUGAGAUGGUUUAUUUAUGCUCGGCCCAGGGAGUGGCACUAUUAGAAGGUGUGGCCCUGUUAGAGUAGGUGUGGCCUUGUUGGAGUAUACGUGUCACUAUGGGUGUGGACUUUAAGACCCUCAUCCUAGCUUCCUGGAAGCCAGUAUUCUGCUAGCAGCCUUCAGAUGAAGAUGUAGAACUCUCAGCUCCUCCUGCACCAUGCCUGCCUGGAUGCUGCCACGCUCCUGCCUUGAUGAUAAUGGACUGAACCUCUGAACCUGCUCUGUCUUUAGCUCUCAGAAAUCUACUCGGACCCCCAAAUCCAGGUCACUGACCAUCAGCAAGGCCAGCCUUCACUAGAUGCCCUGCUUGAUUCAGAGUGGCCAUGUUCACAGUUCGAAAGUGUGGAGAGUCCAAGUCAGCCUCUGAAGAGAGCCUGUGUCCUGGUUCAUGGAGUGACUACAUCUUCUGGCUGUGUUCUCACAUAGCAGAAAGGCGGGGCAGCUCUCUAAAGCCUUUCACAAAGUGCUUGAAUCCCAUGCAUGAGGACUCAGUGGCAAGGCCCUAUCAGCCUGCCUCCUGAUAUCAUCCCUUGGAGAUUAGACUCCUGCUUGUGGACUCAGGGUUGGAACAUUCAGUUUAUGGCAGUGAGGAUAACUUGUCAGUGGUAAUAUGAGUAAUGAAAGAAAUCAAAGACAGGGCAGACUUUUUGUGGCCUUGGUUGUCUUUUUUGAUGACUUGUAAAAAUUCCAGUAAAACAUGCCUAGCCUAAAAGUUUCCAUGUCCUUUUAAAGGAUGUAGUUCUGUGGUAUCAGUCAUAUCUUUAUGCCCUGCAAGCCAUUGUCACCACCCCUAUUCAGAAUUUCCAAGGAUUCAAAACUGAAUUCUGAUGCUAUUAAAGGACCAGUGAAGGUUUUAAAUUAAAAAAAAAAAAUCUGACUCAAAA
Rattus norvegicus (Norway rat) is the source of this 977-nucleotide non-coding RNA. The record is from RefSeq and is a predicted model, not a curated record. NCBI's taxonomy places the organism in Eukaryota, Metazoa, Chordata, Mammalia, Rodentia, Muridae.